RNAcentral lists this ribosomal RNA (301 nucleotides) under uncultured bacterium. Its description in RNAcentral is "partial 16S ribosomal RNA". It matches the Rfam family "Bacterial small subunit ribosomal RNA", at positions 509 to 807 of the family's 1533-position model. The record is from RNAcentral.
CAGUCGCCGCGGUAAUACGGAGGAUCCAAGCGUUAUCCGGAUUUAUUGGGUUUAAAGGGUGCGUAGGUGGCUUAUUAAGUCAGGGGUGAAAGACGGUAGCUUAACUAUCGCAGUGCCUUUGAUACUGAUGAGCUUGAAUGAACUAGAGGUAGGCGGAAUGUGACAAGUAGCGGUGAAAUGCAUAGAUAUGUCACAGAACACCAAUUGCGAAGGCAGCUUACUAUGGUUUUAUUGACACUGAGGCACGAAAGCGUGGGGAUCAAACAGGAUUAGAUACCCGAGUAGUCCCUGUCUCUUAUAC